GUGGGUCUCAGCUGCUGGAGCGGCGGUUUUGGCUCCAGAUCUAGUCGGUUCAAGGCGGUUUUUCGGCAGCUCACGGCGAGAUCCGACCCGGCGGUAGACACGGUAACCCCCCUCCAUUGUGUCUUCAUUUUAUCCUUACUUUUUCUCUCUUCUUUCUUAUUUUCUUCUCUCUUUUAUUUUUCUCUUUCGUUUUGGCCGGCGUUUUCCUUGGCGAUUUCCGGCGUCGGUUUGGUGGCUGCAGCCGCAGCAGUCGGCAUCGGUUCGGUGGCUG
This 271-nucleotide long non-coding RNA is filed under the name Citrus sinensis (sweet orange). RNAcentral's name for it is "long non-coding RNA (CSIN_LNC003079)". The record is from RNAcentral. Lineage: Eukaryota; Viridiplantae; Streptophyta; Magnoliopsida; Sapindales; Rutaceae.